Molecule: long non-coding RNA, 3212 nt
Organism: Anolis carolinensis (green anole)
Lineage: Eukaryota; Metazoa; Chordata; Lepidosauria; Squamata; Anolidae
Exons: 2
Source: RefSeq, a predicted model, not a curated record
UAUUAUUAUUUCUUGUUCCUACCUUUAUUUCCAUGUACAACAAUCCUGCAUGCUUCCAAACAAAAACUUUGCUAGGUCUUACUUUCAGGAGAGGCCUUAUAUUUAGCAACUAGCUGUGCCCGGCCACGCGUUGCUGUGGCAAAGUAUGGUGGUAUGGGAAAUAAAGUAUUGAAGAAUUGGUGGUAGUUAAGGUAAAGGGUAAAGGUUUUCUCCUGACAUUAAGUCCAGUUGUGUCCGACUGCACACUGAAGUGGAUUAUAUGGCAGUGUGGAGUCAAGAUAAUCCAGUUCAAAGCAGAUAAUAUGAGAUUAUAAAUGGAUUAUAUAGCUGUGUGGAAGGGCCCUUGAGUCUACACUGCCAUAUAAUCCAGUUCAAAUCAGAUAAUCUGUAUUUUAUAGGCAGUGUGGAAGAGGCCUAAGUGAGGCCUAACUCUUCCUGUCCCCUGGGCUGCGUGGGUUGCUAGGAGACCAAGUGGGCGGAGCUUAGCCUUCUAACUGGCAGCAAUUGGAUAAAAACAAUUAUUCCUCUCCCUCUAAUUAGGACUUUAUUUUUCUUUUGUUUUUUGUUGUAUGAACAUAGAGGCAUGGAUGAGGGGUUGUGCUGCCAAGUUUAGUGUUUCUGGGAUGUGUAGUUUUGUUGUUUUGUCCUAGGCCGAAAUUUCAUUACCUUUUUAUAUAGAUAGAUUCAGCAAAACCUCUACUAGGUCUUAUUUUUCUGGGGAUGUGUUAUUUUCAGGGAAACAGGGUAAAUAAAUAAAUAAAUAAAUAAAUUUCCUACUUUUUCUUGUGUGCAAGGCAAAGGCCGAGUUUGUGCAAAAUAAAUAAAUAAAUAAAAUUCCAGCAAUGUUUUUCUUUUAUCAUUUGGAGGCAUGGCCUGAUGCUCCGGCACAUGCCACGGAAGUUCUCCGAUUGCCACCUGGUGGUGCCCAGCCUGCUCAACAGUGAGUAAGGAGUAGAAGCCAUGCCCUAGGAGAUGUUCCACAGGGAGAAAAAGACACACACACACACACACACACACACAGCAUGCAUUGCAUCUUUUGGCAGCCGUGCUUGGCAACCGACCUUGGGCUGUCCUUGCAGGGAACACCAAGGCUGGCUGGGCCUGGAGCCCCCUCGACAAGGAAAGCAAUUCAGCAGGAAAAGAAAAAUAGGAGCGGAGUCACUCGGCACCCAUCAUGGGAAGCAAAGCUAACGGGAACAGGCAGGAGCAUUCAACAUCUAUCUCUGACUGUUUUAGAUAAACAGUUUUACCAUCCUUGUGGAAGGCUUCUCUCAUGUCCCCACAUGGAGCUGGAGCUAACAGAGGGAGCUCAUCCGCACUCUCCCCGGGUUGGAUUCGAACCUGGCAGCCUUCAGGUCAGCAACCCAACCUUCAAGUCGCAAGGCUUUAACCCACUACACCACCGGUGGCAUCUCCUGGGCAACGUCCUUGCAGACAGCCCAUUCUCUCACACCAGAAGCGACUUGCAGUUUCUCAAGUCGCUCCUGACAUGAAAAAAAAGAUAAACAGUAGAUUUUGUUUCUCUAAGGAUUCCUCUUUCUUUACCAACAGCAUUUGUUGCCUUUUCUAUAACGAAGAAUAUCUGUGGAACACCUUUUGAAUAUCUGCAUUAUCAGCAAUUAUCUCUUUCCCCUCUUGUAUCUUUAUUUCUCUCUCUCUCUCUGUUUCUUUUUAUAACUUAAACGCCAACAAUCUCCCUGGCAUAUUUGCAAAUUCAACGUUCUUUGGCUUUUGCAUAAUGCAUUUUUUUUUCUCUCGAUCUCAAGUCACAGUUAGCACUGAUAGCCGUCUCUGUAAAAUUUUAAUAUAUGAUUCAUCACAGCCAUUUUUUGAAGGAGAUUUCUCUAAUUCUUCUACCAGAUGCAUCUUGUAUAUAUUUUGGCAUAAUGAGACACAGGCGGUAUUUAUAUUUUGAGAUACUGAAACCCCAUCUGAUAAUUUCAACUCGGUCUUUUCAUUCACAUUUUUUUUCGAAUAUAUGACUUCCAGUGCUAACUUCAUUAUUUGGAUUUAAAGAGAUUGAUGAUGCACAUAAAUUUUUGCUUAUCUUGCAGAAUGAAGACAGCUUGACGCCACUUUAAAUGGCGUGUCUAAAUGUCAUGGAAACACGGGAGUUGUGGUUUUACAAGGUCGUGAGCCUUCUCUGCCAAACUACAACUCCUAUUCCAACAAAAGAAAAUGACAAGCAGUUUUCUCUCACAAUUGUGUGUCUCUAUGGCAAGGACAUCCUCUUGCAUCUGCCCUCCAAGGUUUCGUGAGCAAGCAUGCAAAUGACCUGACCGGAGGCUGCUUGGUUUAAAUAUAGGCAGUGCCAGGAGGGCAUCCGGCGUGGCACAUGGAGAAGAGACAAACACAGAGAUGGAAACACCCCUCGAAAACACCGCGAGUUUGCUUCUGAAUUCUUCUGGAGUGGCCACAUGCUCAUAUGCUCAAUGCUUCUUGGCUUGAUGACAAUUAGGGGAGACAAUGUCAGCCAAUUUGUCAUCAGGUGGAUUGCAGGCCUCUCUAAUGCUAUAUAUUCAACGUUCUCAUAGGUGCAAUCUGCACUGAUUCUGGUAGAAUAGAAUCCCACUUACACGACUUCCGCUAAUUAUAAUAUUAUAAUGGAAUACAAUAUUAUACUACUAAUAAUGCAAUAUAAUUAUAUUAAUUAUAUAUUAUAUAUUAAAUGUAAUAUUACUAAUAAUAUUACCAUAUAAUGAUAUAGUACAAUAUAGUAAUUUAAUGCUUAUAUUGUGCUAUGCUAAUAAUAUAUUGUAUGUUCAUUUGAUUUGUAAGCCGCUCUGAGUCCCCUUUGGGGUGAGAAGAGAGGGAUAUAAAUGUAGUAAAUAUUACUAUUUACUAUAAAAUUAUUACUAAUAAUAUUACCAUAUAAUGAUAUAGUACAAUAUAGUAAUUUAAUGCUUAUAUUGUGCUAUGCUAAUAAUAUAUUGUAUGUUCAUUUGAUUUGUAACCUGCUCUGAGUUCUCACCGCGGGGUAAGAAGAGCGGGAUAUAAAUGUAGUAAAUAUUACUAUUUACUAUAAAAUUAUUACUAAUAAUAUUACCAUAUAAUGAUAUAGUACAAUAUAGUAAUUUAAUGUUCAUAUUGCGUUAUGCUAAUAAUAUAUUGUAUGUUCAUUUGAUUUGUAAGCCGCUCUGAGUCCUCUUCGGGGUAAGAAGAGCAGGAUAUAAAUGUAGUAAAUAAAUAUUACUAAUAAUAUUACCAUAUAA